RNAcentral lists this ribosomal RNA (589 nucleotides) under Salmonella enterica subsp. enterica serovar Newport. Its description in RNAcentral is "partial 23S ribosomal RNA". It matches the Rfam family "Bacterial large subunit ribosomal RNA", at positions 49 to 678 of the family's 2925-position model. The record is from RNAcentral. Lineage: Bacteria; Pseudomonadati; Pseudomonadota; Gammaproteobacteria; Enterobacterales; Enterobacteriaceae.
AUGAAGGACGUGCUAAUCUGCGAUAAGCGCCGGUAAGGUGAUAUGAACCGUUAUAACCGGCGAUUUCCGAAUGGGGAAACCCAGUGUGAUUCGUCACACUAUCAUUAACUGAAUCCAUAGGUUAAUGAGGCGAACCGGGGGAACUGAAACAUCUAAGUACCCCGAGGAAAAGAAAUCAACCGAGAUUCCCCCAGUAGCGGCGAGCGAACGGGGAGGAGCCCAGAGCCUGAAUCAGCAUGUGUGUUAGUGGAAGCGUCUGGAAAGGCGCGCGAUACAGGGUGACAGCCCCGUACACAAAAGCGCAUGUGCUGUGAGCUCGAUGAGUAGGGCGGGACACGUGGUAUCCUGUCUGAAUAUGGGGGGACCAUCCUCCAAGGCUAAAUACUCCUGACUGACCGAUAGUGAACCAGUACCGUGAGGGAAAGGCGAAAAGAACCCCGGCGAGGGGAGUGAAAAAGAACCUGAAACCGUGUACGUACAAGCAGUGGGAGCACAGGUUUACCUGUGUGACUGCGUACCUUUUGUAUAAUGGGUCAGCGACUUAUAUUCUGUAGCAAGGUUAACCGUAUAGGGGAGCCGUAGGGAAACC